RNAcentral lists this ribosomal RNA (274 nucleotides) under uncultured bacterium. RNAcentral's name for it is "partial 16S ribosomal RNA". It matches the Rfam family "Archaeal small subunit ribosomal RNA", at positions 473 to 747 of the family's 1478-position model. The record is from RNAcentral.
AAACCAGCACCUCAAGUGGUCAGGAUGAUUAUUGGGCCUAAAGCAUCCGUAGCCGGCUCUGUAAGUUUUCGGUUAAAUCUGUACGCUUAACGUACAGGCUGCCGGGAAUACUGCAGAGCUAGGGAGUGGGAGAGGUAGACGGUACUCGGGAGGAAGUGGUAAAAUGCUUUGAUCUCUCGAUGACCACCUGAGGCGAAGGCGGUCUACCAGAACACGUCCGACGGUGAGGGAUGAAAGCUGGGGGAGCAAACCGGAUUAGAAACCCUAGUAGUCC